GGGAUCGUGGUCUAGUGGUGAUGACGCCUGCCUGACAUGCAGGAGGUCGGGAGUUCAAUUCUCCCCGGUCCCA
This 73-nucleotide transfer RNA is filed under the name Promethearchaeota archaeon. RNAcentral describes it as "Candidatus Lokiarchaeota archaeon tRNA-Val". It matches the Rfam family "tRNA". From Rfam's summary of the family: Transfer RNA (tRNA) molecules are approximately 80 nucleotides in length. The record is from RNAcentral. Lineage: Archaea; Promethearchaeati; Promethearchaeota.